AACGCAGCGAAGGGCGAUACGUAAUAUGAAUUGCAGGUUUUCGUGAAUCAUCGAAUCUUUGAACGCACAUUGCGCCUUUUGGUAUUCCAGAAGGCAUGCCUGUUUGAGCGUCAUUUCUUUCUCAGCUGUCAUAUUUUCUUAUGACGACUGGUAUUGAGUGGUACUCUUUGCAGGGUUAACUUGAAAUAAGUGUAGCGCGAGCGGUGACAGCCGAUCUUGCCGAGAUAAUGUAUUAGGUUCUGCCAACUCGUUAGCUCAGUCAGACAAGCAGUCGCCAGCAACUCCGCUUUCCUUUCACAAAGUUUGACCUCAAAUCAGGUAGGACUACCCGCUGAACUUAA
This 341-nucleotide ribosomal RNA is filed under the name uncultured fungus. RNAcentral describes it as "eukaryotic LSU rRNA". The stretch from base 1 to 113 matches the Rfam family "5.8S ribosomal RNA", at positions 42 to 154 of the family's 154-position model. The record is from RNAcentral. Lineage: Eukaryota; Fungi.